RNAcentral lists this ribosomal RNA (465 nucleotides) under Vreelandella stevensii. RNAcentral describes it as "partial 16S ribosomal RNA". It matches the Rfam family "Bacterial small subunit ribosomal RNA", at positions 338 to 795 of the family's 1533-position model. Lineage: Bacteria; Pseudomonadati; Pseudomonadota; Gammaproteobacteria; Oceanospirillales; Halomonadaceae. The record is from RNAcentral.
CCUACGGGGGGCUGCAGUGGGGAAUAUUGGACAAUGGGGGGAACCCUGAUCCAGCCAUGCCGCGUGUGUGAAGAAGGCCCUCGGGUUGUAAAGCACUUUCAGUGAGGAAGAACGCCUGGUGGUUAAUACCCAUCAGGAAAGACAUCACUCACAGAAGAAGCACCGGCUAACUCCGUGCCAGCAGCCGCGGUAAUACGGAGGGUGCGAGCGUGAAUCGGAAUUACUGGGCGUAAAGCGCGCGUAGGUGGCUUGAUAAGCCGGUUGUGAAAGCCCCGGGCUCAACCUGGGAACGGCAUCCGGAACUGUCAAGCUAGAGUGCAGGAGAGGAAGGUAGAAUUCCCGGUGUAGCGGUGAAAUGCGUAGAGAUCGGGAGGAAUACCAGUGGCGAAGGCGGCCUUCUGGACUGACACUGACACUGAGGUGCGAAAGCGUGGGUAGCAAACAGGAUUAGAUACCCCUGUAGUC